Molecule: transfer-messenger RNA, 390 nt
Filed under: human gut metagenome
Rfam family: transfer-messenger RNA
About the family: Bacterial tmRNA, also known as 10Sa RNA or SsrA, is named for its dual tRNA and mRNA-like properties. Its role is to liberate the mRNA from a stalled ribosome. To accomplish this part of the tmRNA is used as a reading frame that ends in a translation stop signal.
Source: RNAcentral
GGGGAUGCUUAGGUUUCGACAGAAAUGUUUGAGUUUAAGUGGCAAGUCGUAAGUUAUACGAUACAUACAAACAAAAAAUAAUUGGAAACAAAAUUAAAAAUGCAUUAGCAACUUUAUUUGCUCCAAAAGCAAGUAGAUUAGCUUUAGCCUAAUAUAGAAUAAAGGCAUGCGCUUCUUCAUAAUUUUUUACCUAUUGGAAUUAUAAGAGGCUCGAUUUAAAUAGGGUAUAUUAUUAUUUUGCUUAAGAAUAAUAAUGAAUAAUUUUAAGCUUACUAAAUAAUGGGUUGUUCAUUACUAACAUUUUUUAGGAAUUUAAAUAAUGAACUAAACUUGUAGAGGCUUAGAUGUGAAUAUUUUUGGACAGGAGUUCGAUUCUCCUCAUCUCCACCA